Phyllostomus discolor (pale spear-nosed bat) is the source of this 78-nucleotide small nucleolar RNA. RefSeq annotates it as small nucleolar RNA SNORD69. The record is from RefSeq and is a predicted model, not a curated record. The transcript has a single exon. Lineage: Eukaryota; Metazoa; Chordata; Mammalia; Chiroptera; Phyllostomidae.
AGUCUGUCAGCAAAUGAUGUUAAACUGGAUCUGAUGGACUGUGCUGAGUUUGUUCAAUCCAGUCCUGAGCUUCGUGUU